This 405-nucleotide ribosomal RNA is filed under the name bacterium. RNAcentral describes it as "partial 16S ribosomal RNA". It matches the Rfam family "Bacterial small subunit ribosomal RNA", at positions 355 to 776 of the family's 1533-position model. The record is from RNAcentral.
UAAGGAAUAUUGCGCAAUGGAGGAAACCCUGACGCAGCAACGCCGCGUGGAGGAUGACACUUUUCGGAGCGUAAACUCCUUUUAUCAGGAAAGAAUAAUGACGGUACCUGAUGAAUAAGCACCGGCUAACUCCGUGCCAGCAGCCGCGGUAAUACGGGGGGUGCAAGCGUUACUCGGAAUCACUGGGCGUAAAGGACGCGUAGGCGGAUUAUCAAGUCUUUUGUGAAAUCUAGUGGCUUAACCACUAAACUGCUUAGGAAACUGAUAGUCUAGAGUAGGGGAGAGGUAGAUGGAAUUCUUGGUGUAGGGGUAAAAUCCGUAGAGAUCAAGAAGAAUACCCAUUGCGAAAGCGAUCUGCUGGAACCUAACUGACGCUGAGGCGUGAAAGCGUGGGUAGCAAACAGG